Molecule: ribosomal RNA, 1369 nt
Filed under: uncultured bacterium
Lineage: Bacteria
Description: bacterial SSU rRNA
Rfam family: Bacterial small subunit ribosomal RNA
Source: RNAcentral
AGAGUUUGAUCCUGGCUCAGAACGAACUCUGGCGGCGUGGAUAAGACAUGCAAGUCGAACGAGAGAAUUGCUAGCUUGCUAAUAAUUCUCUAGUGGCGCACGGGUGAGUAACACGUGAGUAACCUGCCCCCGAGAGCGGGAUAGCCCUGGGAAACUGGGAUUAAUACCGCAUAGUAUCGAAAGAUUAAAGCAGCAAUGCGCUUGGGGAUGGGCUCGCGGCCUAUUAGUUAGUUGGUGAGGUAACGGCUCACCAAGGCGAUGACGGGUAGCCGGUCUGAGAGGAUGUCCGGCCACACUGGAACUGAGACACGGUCCAGACACCUACGGGUGGCAGCAGUCGAGAAUCAUUCACAAUGGGGGAAACCCUGAUGGUGCGACGCCGCGUGGGGGAAUGAAGGUCUUCGGAUUGUAAACCCCUGUCAUGUGGGAGCAAAUUAAAAAGAUAGUACCACAAGAGGAAGAGACGGCUAACUCUGUGCCAGCAGCCUCGGUAAUACAGAGGUCUCAAGCGUUGUUCGGAAUCACUGGGCGUAAAGCGUGCGUAGGCUGUUUCGUAAGUCGUGUGUGAAGGGCGCGGGCUCAACCCGCGGACGGCACAUGAUACUGCGAGACUAGAGUAAUGGAGGGGGAACCGGAAUUCUCGGUGUAGCAGUGAAAUGCGUAGAUAUCGAGAGGAACACUCGUGGCGAAGGCGGGUUCCUGGACAUUAACUGACGCUGAGGCACGAAGGCCAGGGGAGCGAAAGGGAUUAGAUACCCCUGUAGUCCUGGCAGUAAACGGUGCACGCUUGGUGUGGGGGGAAUCGACCCCCUGCGUGCCGGAGCUAACGCGUUAAGCGUGCCGCCUGGGGAGUACGGUCGCAAGAUUAAAACUCAAAGAAAUUGACGGGGACCCGCACAAGCGGUGGAGUAUGUGGCUUAAUUCGAUGCAACGCGAAGAACCUUACCUGGCUUGACAUGUAAUGAACAACAUGUGAAAGCAUGCGACUCUUCGGAGGCGUUACACAGGCGCUGCAUGGCCGUCGUCAGCUCGUGUCGUGAGAUGUUUGGUUAAGUCCAGCAACGAGCGCAACCCCUGUUGCCAGUUACCAGCACGUGAAGGUGGGGACUCUGGCGAGACUGCCCAGAUCAACUGGGAGGAAGGUGGGGACGACGUCAGGUCAGUAUGGCCCUUAUGCCCAGGGCUGCACACGUACUACAAUGCCCAGUACAGAGGGGGCCGAAGCCGCGAGGCGGAGGAAAUCCUAAAAACUGGGCCCAGUUCGGACUGUAGGCUGCAACCCGCCUACACGAAGCCGGAAUCGCUAGUAAUGGCGCAUCAGCUACGGCGCCGUGAAUACGUUCCCGGGUCUUGUACACACCGCCCGUCA